CCCUGACCAAAUUAUCAUCACGAACACUGCAGCAGUUCUUACAGAACAAGUUAAAUAUACCCUUUCGCAAACCAGACCCAGCAGCAAGAUUUUUAGACAACUUAGCUUUCUUAUUAGUGCUCUUAGUGCACUCCUUAUAAGCUGCCAAGAAAGGAUCAUCCUGUUUUCUAAAACUUCUGCUUGAAGAACUUCUGGAAGGAGGCUGAAACGUGCAUGGAGGAAGAGGAAUUUGGAUGUCAUGGGCUGAAGCCCUAGGGCUUCCGAUCGGACAUGGAGGUGGUGGAAGCUUUACAAAGUCUUCUUCACUAGGAUACCGUUGGAUGACGACCUUGGAGACCCCCGGCUUCUUCUCCCAAGAGAAGGGUACAUUUCCUUUUGGGUGAGCUUUUAUUUGAUUCAUGUUGUAGCAAAAAAUUUUGGCCAAGGAACUUGAGAAACAGAG
Molecule: unclassified non-coding RNA, 442 nt
Filed under: Hevea brasiliensis (rubber tree)
Lineage: Eukaryota; Viridiplantae; Streptophyta; Magnoliopsida; Malpighiales; Euphorbiaceae
Source: RNAcentral